Molecule: non-coding RNA, 336 nt
Organism: Vicia faba (fava bean)
Lineage: Eukaryota; Viridiplantae; Streptophyta; Magnoliopsida; Fabales; Fabaceae
Source: the annotation of a GenBank genome assembly
AACAAAGAGUACUAUGUAUGUGAUAAUUCAUGUUGCUUGCACUUCUCAAUAAUAACAACAAAAGUCAUGGUAAAGAUAUCCGUGAUAUUCAAAAUUAUGGUUUCAAAUGCCAUGGUUCAAAAAAGAACUCUCAAAUCCAUUCAUAGUUCGCUAUCAAAGAAACAUGUGCAGUGCAAGUGCAAUUGUUUUUCCAAAGGCAGUUUCUGUUGUACUUUCGAGUACUCUCAACAAUCAAAUUGGAUGCUCUAUCACGGCUUGUAUUCACUAAUGCCACAAUUCAACAAAAUCACUGAUCAACUUCAACUCCACAGAGAAAUUUUGAACAAUCUCAUGUAG